This 1276-nucleotide long non-coding RNA is filed under the name Cyanistes caeruleus (blue tit). Its description in RNAcentral is "lncRNA (ENSCCEG00000018466.1)". The record is from RNAcentral. Lineage: Eukaryota; Metazoa; Chordata; Aves; Passeriformes; Paridae.
GCUCCUUAGCACAGCACAGGCUUAGGGACAAGUCUUCUGCAUGUUCUGUCAGGAGCUUCUUCCCACUAUUUUAACUAAAACAGGGUGAAAAGGAUGAAAGCAAUAACUCUCCCUAUUUUCUUUCCCUGCACAGGGGUAGCUGAUCCAGUGUCCUUGACUUUCCAGAUUGUUUUCUCCACUGAAUAAUCAAGAAGCAGUUGCUCCUAUGCAAACACAAAGGAUUUGAAGCAAAGACCUCCUGUUUGAAAAACCCAGCAGCAGCAGCACCUGGUGCCUGUUCUUCUGCUAGUCUGCAAACUCCAGAAAUGCUAUGAAAUGGCAAAACACAUCAUGAAGGCAGGAUUUUUGCAGAUGAUUAAGGCUAAGAAGGCAUUUUCUUGCUGAGCCAAUUAUUGCCUUUCAUAAAAUUGAUAAAUUAAUAGGCUUAAUCCUCCAAAAAUAAUAGUCUUAGCAUGCUAUAAUGCCAUCUGAAAAUUAUUGACUCUUAAAAAUGUAGCCUUCUAGAUAAAUGUUGAUCUGGUUACCUCCAGCUGCCUUCCCACAGUAAGUGCUUUUAUUUGAUCAGACAAAAGUCUUGUGAAGCUGUCAUCACCCAGGACAAUUAAUUCAGUGUCAGAUAUCCAGGUUCAUUUUAGAGUCUGCCUCUGACAUGCACCCUCUAUCACUGCCAAGUGCACCUUAUGAGCACCUUCUUGCUGUGUCAGGGAAGCCCUGACCUGAGGCGUAACACAACAUUAUGGUGACAUACAGGAGGUUCCUCCUACCACAGGGGGCUGGUGCAGACCUUCCAGUCACCCUGCACCCUACUUGCCUUUCCCUUUCCAACUGGUUUGAUAAACUAGCUGCGCAGAAGUUUUCCCUGUGACAUCUGUUUGCCACUUAGGUCACAUUACUUAUUAAAUAGUGUUGCACUUUUCUGAAAAUAACAUUUUCCCACCUCCCAUUUAAAUAGGUAAAAUAUCUUCAUCUGUUUCAAAGAAGAGUCUAUCAACACUGAAAAAGAGAGUAGUAUUCAUCUUCAUCUGAGACAGUUUUGGUUUUUUGGUUUUUUUUAUUCAUCAAUAGUUGCAAAAGUUUUUGACAGCUGGAAUGAGGCUGUUUGGUCUCAUUUUGUCAGCUCACAUAUUGCAGCAGACAUUUGCAAAUACUGUGGAUUCUUUUUAACAAGUACCUAUUCUACGAUGCAGGAGAUUUUCCCCAUUGGUAAGAUAAUAUUGGCCUUAACGGUAGAAAGCACUCUUCUCUGAUUCAGUUUUUGUUGGUCUGGGUUGGAAUA